This 61-nucleotide ribosomal RNA is filed under the name uncultured bacterium. RNAcentral describes it as "partial 16S ribosomal RNA". The record is from RNAcentral.
GAGAGGAAGGUCCCCCACACUGGUACUGAGACACGGACCAGACUCCUACGGAAGGCAGCAG